Molecule: non-coding RNA, 26 nt
Filed under: Rattus norvegicus (Norway rat)
Lineage: Eukaryota; Metazoa; Chordata; Mammalia; Rodentia; Muridae
Source: RNAcentral
CAGAUCUUGGCAGCCUUGCAGCAUGA